RNAcentral lists this ribosomal RNA (431 nucleotides) under Chloroflexi bacterium SCGC AAA001-M13. RNAcentral describes it as "SSU rRNA". It matches the Rfam family "Bacterial small subunit ribosomal RNA", at positions 504 to 934 of the family's 1533-position model. The record is from RNAcentral. Lineage: Bacteria; Bacillati; Chloroflexota.
CCAGUCAGCGCCGCGGUAAUACGUAGGUUGCAAGCGUUGUCCGGAUUUACUGGGCGUAAAGGGCCCGCAGGCGGCUUGGCAAGUUUUGGGUGAAAUCUCGCGGCUUAACCGAGAGAGGUCUCAGAAAACUGCCAGGCUUGAAGCAGUGAGGGGGAUGCAGAAUUCCCGGUGUAGCGGUGGAAUGCGUAGAUAUCGGGAGGAAUACCAGAGGCGAAGGCGGCAUCCUGGCACUGACUUGACGCUGAGGGGCGAAAGCGUGGGGAGCGAACCGGAUUAGAUACCCGGGUAGUCCACGCCGUAAACGAUGAGUACUAGAUGUCGGGGGUAUCGACCCCCUCGGUGUCGUAGCUAACGCAAUAAGUACUCCGCCUGGGGACUACGGCCGCAAGGCUAAAACUCAAAGGAAUUGGCGGGGGAGCACGGUCAUAGCU